This 427-nucleotide ribosomal RNA is filed under the name Chloroflexota bacterium. Its description in RNAcentral is "Chloroflexi bacterium partial 16S ribosomal RNA". It matches the Rfam family "Bacterial small subunit ribosomal RNA", at positions 355 to 774 of the family's 1533-position model. The record is from RNAcentral. RNAcentral also lists the same sequence under 1 other name. Lineage: Bacteria; Bacillati; Chloroflexota.
UGGGGAAUAUUGCACAAUGGGCGCAAGCCUGAUGCAGCCAUGCCGCGUGUAUGAAGAAGGCCUUCGGGUUGUAAAGUACUUUCAGCGGGGAGGAAGGGAGUAAAGUUAAUACCUUUGCUCAUUGACGUUACCCGCAGAAGAAGCACCGGCUAACUCCGUGCCAGCAGCCGCGGUAAUACGGAGGGUGCAAUCGUUAAUCGGAAUUACUGGGCGUAAAGCGCACGCAGGCGGUUUGUUAAGUCAGAUGUGAAAUCCCCGGGCUCAACCUGGGAACUGCAUCUGAUACUGGCAAGCUUGAGUCUCGUAGAGGGGGGUAGAAUUCCAGGUGUAGCGGUGAAAUGCGUAGAGAUCUGGAGGAAUACCGGUGGCGAAGGCGGCCCCCUGGACGAAGACUGACGCUCAGGUGCGAAAGCGUGGGGAGCAAACA